RNAcentral lists this long non-coding RNA (729 nucleotides) under Mus musculus (house mouse). RNAcentral's name for it is "small nucleolar RNA host gene 1". The record is from RNAcentral. Lineage: Eukaryota; Metazoa; Chordata; Mammalia; Rodentia; Muridae.
CUCAUUUUUCCUUGUUCGGGGUUUGAGGUGCCACCUUACAAAAGGAUGGGUGUACGCUCUCUUUUCAGAAUGUGGUUCAUCUCAAAGCCCUUUACACUUUGGAGCCAGGCCUGUUCAAUUUUACAAAUAACACGUUUUGCUUGUAGUCAGGGUGCUGUGACAACAUGAAGAGUUCGAGCUACCUCCCAGGAUGAGUGCAGGUUUUCCUGGUGACAAAUCUCAGGCAUUCAAAGGUUCUGUUAGCAGUGCCAUACUUGUGGGUUUACAGAGAUGGUGUGUCUGGCUGAGAACAAAGGAGCCGUACCAGGAAAGUUGAAGCAUAUCUUCAUUUUCAAGUCCAGGCUAAAAUAAGGUCUGAGGAAAAGAAUGAGCUGCGUGUGAAGGAUAGGUAAGCCCUUCAAAUCAUUAAAAUGGGCGGCGCAGGGUUGGGGGAAACUGGUUACCUAGACAGCCUAUAGUCUCUUCUGAUAGUGAAUGUAGGAUGAUUUUGCUUUCUACUCCUAAUUCAAAUUUUUAUCUUGCAGGAACAGAAAUCAUGAAAGAUCUGUUUGUCCAGGCCAGUGUUUCACCAUAAGAGAUCACUUUAAAAUAAAUGAUGAAAUAAUUCUUUGCAAUUGCAAAUUUACCUUCCUUGCUUACCACAUUGUUAACUGUAGGAGCUGAUACCUGGUUCUUCCACUGUUAACUUGUACUCUGUGUUUGUUCUAGCAAUAAAUGCUCUUUAUGCUA